Molecule: ribosomal RNA, 700 nt
Filed under: uncultured bacterium
Lineage: Bacteria
Description: bacterial SSU rRNA
Rfam family: Bacterial small subunit ribosomal RNA
Source: RNAcentral
UAGCACAGAGAGCUUGCUCUCGGGUGACGAGCGGCGGACGGGUGAGUAAUGUCUGGGAAACUGCCUGAUGGAGGGGGAUAACUACUGGAAACGGCAGCUAAUACCGCAUAAUGUCGCAAGACCAAAGUGGGGGACCUUCGGGCCUCAUGCCAUCAGAUGUGCCCAGAUGGGAUUAGCUAGUAGGUGGGGUAACGGCUCACCUAGGCGACGAUCCCUAGCUGGUCUGAGAGGAUGACCAGCCACACUGGAACUGAGACACGGUCCAGACUCCUACGGGAGGCAGCGGUGGGGAAUCUUGCGCAAUGGGCGAAAGCCUGACGGAGCCACGCCGCGUGAGUGAUGAAGGUCUUCGGAUCGUAAAACUCUGUUAUUAGGGAAGAACGAAUGUGUGAUUAACUAUGUGCGUAUUGACGGUACCUAAUCAAAAAGCCACGGCUAACUACGUGCCAGCAGCCGCGGUAAUACGUAGGUGGCAAGCGUUAUCCGGAAUUAUUGGGCGUAAAGCGCGCGUAGGCGGUCUGUUAAGUCUGAUGUGAAAUCCCCCGGCUCAACCUGGGAACUGCAUUGGAAACUGGAAGACUUGAGUGCUGAAGAGGAAAGUGGAAUUCCAUGUGUAGCGGUGAAAUGCGCAGAGAUAUGGAGGAACACCAGUGGCGAAGGCGACUUUCUGGACUGUAACUGACGCUCAUGUGCGAAAGCG